UACAGAGGUCUCGAGCGUUUGUUCGGAGUUCAUUGGGCGUAAAGGGUGCGUAGGUGGCGUGGUAAGUCUGGUGUGAAAUCCCGGGGCUCAACCCCGGAACUGCACUGGAUACUGGCCAUGCUUGAGUACUGGAGAGGAGAUUGGAAUUUACGGUGUAGCAGUGAAAUGCGUGAGAUAUCGUAAGGAAGACCAGUGGCGAAGGCGAAUCUCUGGACAGUUGACUGACACUGGAGGCACGAAGGCCAGGGGAGCAAACGGGAUU
Molecule: ribosomal RNA, 262 nt
Filed under: uncultured bacterium
Lineage: Bacteria
Description: partial 16S ribosomal RNA
Rfam family: Bacterial small subunit ribosomal RNA
Source: RNAcentral